GUAUUCACUUCAGCAGCACAUAUACUAAAAUUGGAAUGAUACAGAGAAGAUUAGCAUCACCCCUGCACAAGGAUGACAUGCAAAUUCAUGAAGCAUUCCAUAUUUAA
Molecule: small nuclear RNA, 107 nt
Filed under: Marmota marmota marmota (Alpine marmot)
Lineage: Eukaryota; Metazoa; Chordata; Mammalia; Rodentia; Sciuridae
Source: RNAcentral